UUAGAUGGUCAUAGAGGUUAUCCAUUCAAUUAAAACAGUAUUUAAAGACUAAUUAGCUACUAUAGUAUUUAUAAGUUUAAUGUAGUUCUUACUUGAAAGUUGAAACUUAAACGUGGAGAUUUAUGAUGCUAAAAGAUUUCUUCCUCCUAAAUUCCUAAACGAUACAAUAUUUGGUUCUCGCCUCCAAUUUAGUGAUGCACACUAUCUAAACUCAAACUUGUAUUAUCAUCAUCAAAGAAAGAAAAAGAAGUGGCUGUUAGAUGCUACACCUAGAAAGCUCAGCUAAAGUAGACUACCCAGAAGCCACCGCACUAUGCUACUCAUGGCGUUUCACUAUAGCGGAUUCAGACAGGUUUUCCAAAAGGAGCCUUAAUUAGAAAACAAGCAAAAGCAUAACAUUGGCAUGUGCGAUAAAACAGGUUUUCCGAGGCAUGUCCGAAUUUGAUUUAUUUUUAUAGUUCAUUAAUAAAAUGCAGGGAGACAUUCUUCUCCCUGUGGCCUACCAAAAA
This is a long non-coding RNA of Arabidopsis thaliana (thale cress), 509 nucleotides long. RefSeq annotates it as other RNA. The transcript has 2 exons. NCBI's taxonomy places the organism in Eukaryota, Viridiplantae, Streptophyta, Magnoliopsida, Brassicales, Brassicaceae. The record is from RefSeq.